This is a long non-coding RNA of Gadus macrocephalus (Pacific cod), 799 nucleotides long. RefSeq lists it as uncharacterized. The record is from RefSeq and is a predicted model, not a curated record. Lineage: Eukaryota; Metazoa; Chordata; Actinopteri; Gadiformes; Gadidae. The transcript is spliced from 2 exons.
UCUACGAGAGGGAAGGAAAGGACAAAGAAGUCAGAUGGUUGAGAAAUUACAGUAUGGAACCAUUUCAAUAUUACAAUGUCCAAUUAGGUGGUUAUCUGUCCUAAAUCCAGUGGUAAACUUUUAUUUGAUGUCUUAAAUUAUUCAAAGGCAAUAGAUUAAUAACAACGAUCAACGACAUUAUAAUAAAAAAGUUGGCUAGUACACAUUAUUCUUAUGCAACAAAAUAUGGAAUGGGAUACUUUAAUUAUUAGUGGGUAGUAGCCUAUAGACUUGCGUUAUUUACUAGGGUGAAUACCACCAAUUUUCUUCAAAAGAAUACAUCAACAUGUCAGCAGUUGCAUAAAUAUUCUAUGUGUAGUAGCUCUAAUAUGUCACAAUUGGCUCUGAAAGGCAUGCACCGCCAUGGUGCAAAGGUCUUAUUUAGUUUCUCUAACAUUAAAGGCACCCAGUGCAACUUUAUGUAAACAUUCAAUGAAAAAUAAACAUUCAAUUUCUAGUCUUUUUUACACGUAGUAAGUUUCAAUAACUCCAUACCAUUACAUAUCGACAUUCAAGGAGCAAAGAUGAGACGUCGUUGUGUGGUGAGAACUGAUAGAAAAUCGUAAACAACAACAAUCGCCGGUGGGGAGAAGCCAUUUUUCCAUUGACUGGAAGCCUGCUUUAUUUAUUGUAGGUUACAAAAAAUAAAGAAAAUGGCGGCAUUGUUGUUGUUAUCGAUUUUCUAUCAGUUCUCACCACACAACGACGUCUCAUCUUUGCUGCUUGAAUGUCGGUAUGUAAUGGUAUGGAGUUAUUGAAA